Molecule: ribosomal RNA, 431 nt
Filed under: Listeria monocytogenes
Lineage: Bacteria; Bacillati; Bacillota; Bacilli; Caryophanales; Listeriaceae
Description: bacterial SSU rRNA
Rfam family: Bacterial small subunit ribosomal RNA
Source: RNAcentral
UUUAAAGAGAGUUUGAUCCUGGCUCAGGACGAACGCUGGCGGCGUGCCUAAUACAUGCAAGUCGAACGAACGGAGGAAGAGCUUGCUCUUCCAAAGUUAGUGGCGGACGGGUGAGUAACACGUGGGCAACCUGCCUGUAAGUUGGGGAUAACUCCGGGAAACCGGGGCUAAUACCGAAUGAUAAAGUGUGGCGCAUGCCAUGCUUUUGAAAGAUGGUUUCGGCUAUCGCUUACAGAUGGGCCCGCGGUGCAUUAGCUAGUUGGUAGGGUAAUGGCCUACCAAGGCAACGAUGCAUAGCCGACCUGAGAGGGUGAUCGGCCACACUGGGACUGAGACACGGCCCAGACUCCUACGGGAGGCAGCAGUAGGGAAUCUUCCGCAAUGGACGAAAGUCUGACGGAGCAACGCCGCGUGUAUGAAGAAGGUUUUCG